This 459-nucleotide ribosomal RNA is filed under the name uncultured bacterium. Its description in RNAcentral is "bacterial SSU rRNA". It matches the Rfam family "Bacterial small subunit ribosomal RNA", at positions 343 to 793 of the family's 1533-position model. The record is from RNAcentral.
GGGAGGCAGCAGUGGGGAAUCUUGCGCAAUGGGGGAAACCUUGACGCAGCAACGCCGCGUGGGUGAUGAAGGCCUUCGGGUCGUAAAGCCCUGUCAGGUGGGAAGAAACUUGUGGAUGUCAAUACCAUCCACACUUGACGGUACCACCGGAGGAAGCACCGGCUAACUCCGUGCCAGCAGCCGCGGUAAUACGGAGGGUGCAAGCGUUGUUCGGAAUUACUGGGCGUAAAGCGCGUGUAGGCGGUUGGGCAAGUCAGAUGUGAAAGCCUUCUGCUUAACAGAAGAAGUGUAUUUGAAACUACCCAGCUAGAGUACGAGAGAGGAGAGUGGAAUUCCCGGUGUAGAGGUGAAAUUCGUAGAUAUCGGGAGGAACACCAGUGGCGAAGGCGGCUCUCUGGCUCGAUACUGACGCUGAGACGCGAAAGCGUGGGGAGCAAACAGGAUUAGAUACCCUAGUAC